Molecule: long non-coding RNA, 292 nt
Filed under: Dunaliella salina
Lineage: Eukaryota; Viridiplantae; Chlorophyta; Chlorophyceae; Chlamydomonadales; Dunaliellaceae
Description: long non-coding RNA (DSAL_LNC000258)
Source: RNAcentral
GCCUCCAGUCAAACCGACUGACUGCUAGCCUGUUCAUAAAAAAGUAAGAGUCCAUGCAGGAAAGGAUAAAGUUUAUUAUUGUUUUGAUUCAAAAAAAGAUCGCAUGGCAUGCGGUGGGACAUGGUGAGAUGCAUGCAGGAACGGUGCCGCUUGGGACUCUGGAGUUGAGAGGGAAAGGGCAUGUCCAUUAAACAAAAAUGCGUAUUUCCUUCUAAGGUUGCAAACAUGAGGGUGAGUACAUUUAAAUAGCACAUGUUGCUCAUCCUGAGCGUCAUCGUGAGCAUCACACAGA